Molecule: long non-coding RNA, 3592 nt
Organism: Trifolium pratense (red clover)
Lineage: Eukaryota; Viridiplantae; Streptophyta; Magnoliopsida; Fabales; Fabaceae
Exons: 13
Source: RefSeq, a predicted model, not a curated record
AACAAUUGUGGUUUUAUGAUUACUUUUCCAAUAUUUUUUCAUUUGUCAAAGUUUUUCUCUCUCUUCCCCCCCCCCCCCUCUCUCUCGUAAGCUCUCACUCUUUCUCCUCACACUUUCAUCUCUCUUUCUCCUCCCCAUCUCAUCCUUCACCAUAACAUCCACACCACAGCCUCCACCACCAUCGACAAAUCAAUCACUCGUAAGGGUGAGGGAGUGGCCGAGUGAGAGAAGCCGGCGGGAGAGAAGUUCUGGCGAGGAGGAGGAGUUCCGGCCGAGAGAGUUCUUGUGGCCGUUUGUGGUGACACGGCGGUGCUUGGCAACGGCGGCAAUGAAGCUUCUUGCUCCUUCUUUCCUCUGGCUCCAUGGAAGGAUAAGGCUCCUCCAUGAAUUUGAUCUUUGGAUGUUAAUAAACUCAGGUGACUAGAAAAAUCACUAUGACCACAAUAUCAGAAAGAGAUGAAUGAUGGUUGGGUUGAUUUGGAAAAGGCACCUGAUGGAUCUUUCAAGAAGAAGAUUCUGGGGUCAAUCUGGAAGGCUCCGCUCUAAAGUUGAGAAAGGAACUUUUGGACGAGGUAUUCUAUAGACCAAGCAGGAAAGGUGCAUGCAGAAUUAGUGUAGUAGACGAAGCCAAUGUGUAUGGAAAGGGAAGCAAUAAGAUAAAUUUUCGAGAAUCUGUUUCGUAUUGAAAAAAUGGCUAGAAUGGAGCAUUUUUGUUGAAAUGGAUUCAGGCCAGCAAAUAAAGCUGCAGGGAUGGCAUCUAGAGAUGGUGAUCUUGAUUUGAAUCUUUCACAGCCUAGGUCUGGACAGUUGUCUACCAGACAAAUUACAUCAAGUCCAGAAGCAAAACCUUUGGAUUUUGUGAUCCGCCCCCAGUCUAAAAUUGAUCCUGGUGAAAUUAGAGCACAUGCAAAACAAUAUGAAUAAGAAAUUGCAGCAGUUGAGGGCUCCAAAAAAGAAGCAGCUUCAAGCUACAAAGCUGAGUGUGGAAUGUCGUGGUAUGGUCAAAUACUUAUGAAUGCGGCUAAUAUUGCUUUUUAGGGGAGUGUGGAUAGGUAUUUAUGAUUACUACUAUUUUAUAAGGAUGACUACAUCACCAUUGCUACUUUUUAGGAAGUCUUGAGCAUCCAAUCCUAUAUUUUUGCAUAACUCCUUCACUAAUCCACGCAUAUUUUCUCAUUGAUCACAUACACCAAUCUUCUAAUUUUCUUUUCUAUUCAUCUCCUCUGCGUUUUGUCUAUCCUAUCUCAACACUGUCUUCUUCUAACCCUUCAUUUUCCAUAUGGCAUCCUAUCUCACAUAAUUAAAUGACUAAUGGAAAAUUUAACAUGGAUAUAAGGAUCAGUGAUAUAGCUUCUUGACAAAAAGCUCAAAAGCAUUUCCAAUCCUCCAUAUCAUGAAUAUUCUUGCAAGAAUGUCUUAUCAUGAGUGAAUACAUUAUCUUAUAGCGUCUCAAUAUGAAUUAAUCAAGUAACAAGGUCACCAAUUUCUUAAUAUAACUCACCUCUUUUAUGAUGUUGAAUAUUGAUUCAAAUCUAACAACUUUAGUUACCUGCUGCAAGGGUUUAAUAUGAGCUCUUACAAGUCAUUAAUUAUUUUGGAUUGGGUCCCUUUUAUAUUUUCUUUUCUACAUGGUGUGCUAUUGAAUUGUUUGAUCUGUUGAUUCUAGAUCCUAUGGUAAGGCUGCUAUAAAAUGCUAUGGAAGUGUUAAUUAUGAAGGAGAGUAAGCUUAUAUCUGAUAUGCAUUUGAAUUCAUCACUUAAUGUCAUGUUUAUGCUCUAUUAUGUUUUCUAUUUGUCUCUUUGAUCUGUCAUCACUUAAUGUCAUGUCUAUUAUGCUCUAUUAUCUUAUGUUUGCUUAGAACAUGUUUGUUAUUGUUAUAACCAUAGCUAUCACUAAUUAGGUGCAUACUACUCUUAGAUGGAAUGAAAUAUUUGGUGAAAUUUGUGAAGGCAGUAGCUUUAUUCAUUAAUUUUUUUGGACUGUGUCCCUUUUAAAAUUUCUUUUCUACAUAGCGUGCUAUUGAAUUGUUUGAUCUAUUGAUUGAUUCUGUGGCGUAUGGUAAGGCUGCUAUAAAAUGAUAUGGAAGUGUUACUUAUGAAGGAGAGUAAUCUCCCAGUGUGAUAAUGAAGUUUGCACUCUGAUUGGUCCAUGCUUCAAAUCUUUGCAUAAGCACUAUCCAGGCAUCAAGUGCCAUGAUUGUAGAUGCAAAUGCAACGUAAGAUGAACUCAUAUAUACUCCUACUAUUGUACAGUUCAUCACCAAAUGGUUUUGGUCUGCGCAUUUUGAUGUUCCUUUGUUCAGUGACGAACACACAGUCGGUUUCAAGGCUUAUACUUUAUCUCCAUGUUCUCUACAGCAGAUCAUCCCAACAAGUGAGUUUAAUUGUUAUUCAAUUUCUCCAUUUUCUUUCUUCUUUUUCUUCCGGUGUUUUUCUUCCUAAUUUUGCUUGUAUCAUUGUUGCUUUUCAUCUUUAGAGGGUAAUAUAAAAGUUCAGCUUCAGGAAAAAAAAGAUAAAGGAUUAAUCCGAAGUCCCUUACUGCACAUUAAAUAUUGUAGUCUCUUACUUUAAAUUCAUGUCUAUCUUAAGAAUUAACAUUUCCGAAUUUCAAUAACCAGGGAUUAUGAGUGAACCUCCAAUUCCCUGUUUUAAAUUGUGUUUUUAUUUUAACAAAAGGAUGCAUCUAACACUUGAUAGUGGAAAAUGUAUUUCGCAUAGAAUGAAAAGGAUAGAUAUGGAUUGUAAAAUUUGAAAUUUCUAGAUUAUUUGAUGAUUUAUUUUCUAAUAUUUGCUGAGAUUGUGUUUUUUGCGGAUAAAUGAUGGAUUAGCUUGAAAGUUUUGAUCAUCUGUGUUAUAAGAGAGUAUUAUAGUAUGGGGAAAUAUUGGUGGUGUUUGAUAUAGGUUACCUGGUUAUGCCUUUUUUCCUUUUUAAAUGCUAGAGGUAAAAAGAUUCUAACUUCUGCAUUAAUUUUCUCUGAUUAUGUCUCUUUGUGAUAUUUCAAUUAAUGGAAUUUCUUUAGUUUUGUUUGGUCGGUGGAAUGAGAUUUUUAUUGAGCAUGACUUAAGUGGUGGGGAUUGAAACAUAAAUGAAAAACUUCUAUAUACACCAUGCAUGUUCUCAUUUAAACUAAUGAGGUGAAAAGUACAAGCAAUACUAAUGAGGGAACUUUAGAUUGUAGGAUAUGAUAGAAGAUUAUCAAUUUGGUUUGGGGCCUUAGAUCUAUAUGCGACAUGAUUUCCUAAAGAGGGAGGGACCUGGAGUUUGAAGUUAUCAACCAAAUUAAUGGAAAAAAGGAGCUGUGAUUAUUUUUUGAAUUAUUGUUUAGAGAAAGAGAGAAAUAGAUUGAGUCUAUGUAUUGAUGUUUUUCUUUAAAGUAUAUCCUAAUGUACUCUUGCAUCCUUAUUGUGCAUUGAAACUUUUUUUUUCUUCAUAUUGUCAUGAUAAUGAUAAUUUAUGUGGUUGUUUUUGUAAAUUGAAUUUGGCUUCAUAUGAUAUAAUGAGAUUGGCCUAGAAAAGGCUUAUACAUUGAAGGUUGAUGAGAGGAAAGGAAGGUAGAAAUAAUUCUCAUAUGUUGAAGAAACAUAUUUUGGAA